AGGAACAUGUGGUUUUAAUUCGAUGAUACGCGAGGAACCUUACCUGGGACUUAAAGUGGGGAGUGACAGCUGUCGAAAGAUGGUUUUCUUCGGACACUCUUCAAGGUGCUGCAUGGUUGUCGUCAGCUCGUGCCGUGAGGUGUCGGGUUAAGUCCCAUAACGAGCGCAACCCUUACCGUUAGUUACCAUCAGGUUAAGCUGGGGACUCUAGCGGGACUGCCGCCGUAAGGUGAGAGGAAGGUGGGGAUGACGUCAAAUCAGCACGGCCCUUAUGUCCAGGGCUACACACGUGUUACAAUGGCCGGUACAAAGGGCAGCUACUUCGCGAGAAGAUGCUAAUCUCGAAAGCCGGUCUCAGUUCGGAUCGAAGUCUGCAACCCGACUUCGUGAAGCUGGAUUCGCUAGUAAUCGCGCAUCAGCCAUGGCGCGGUGAAUACGUUCCCGGGCCUU
This 450-nucleotide ribosomal RNA is filed under the name uncultured Sphingobacteriales bacterium. RNAcentral's name for it is "bacterial SSU rRNA". It matches the Rfam family "Bacterial small subunit ribosomal RNA", at positions 933 to 1382 of the family's 1533-position model. Lineage: Bacteria; Pseudomonadati; Bacteroidota; Sphingobacteriia; Sphingobacteriales. The record is from RNAcentral.